This is a non-coding RNA of Zonotrichia albicollis (white-throated sparrow), 1971 nucleotides long. NCBI's taxonomy places the organism in Eukaryota, Metazoa, Chordata, Aves, Passeriformes, Passerellidae. The record is from RefSeq and is a predicted model, not a curated record.
GUUACAUAUUUGGGUAAGGUUUCCACAACAGGGAUGCAAUUUUUGUCAGGCUGCACAGAAAAACCAGUCAUUGAAUUGUGGAAGAAGCACACGCUCACCAGGGAGGAUGUUUACCCAGCUAAUGCCCUUCUGGAAAUUCGCCCUUUCCAAGUCUGGCUGCAUCAUCUGGACCUCAAAGGCGAGGCGACAGUGCACAUGGAUACCUUUCAGGUGGCACGUAUAGCCUACUGCACUGCUGACCACAACGUCAGCCCAAACAUCUUCGCCUGGGUCUAUCGGGAGAUCAACGAUGACCUGUCCUACCAGAUGGACUGCCACGCUGUGGAGUGUGAGAGCAAGCUGGAGGCCAAGAAGCUGGCCCACGCCAUGAUGGAGGCCUUUAAGAAGACUUUUCACAGCAUGAAAAGCGAUGGCCGGAUCCACAGGAACAGCUCAUCGGAGGAAGUGUCUCAUGAAUUUGAAUCUGAUGAUGGCUGACUGAAGUCAUUCACAGUUCAGCAAAGGCAGAAAUGGCUUAGGGAAUGAGAGCUGGUAGAUGAAUAAGCAACAAUUGAAACUGGGUAAUGAAAGGACUGCCAAACAUUUGUCUGACCACCUUUUUAAAUCAGAAGAGCAAUUUGGUACCUACAGAUAUGCAUUAUUAAAGUAAUUACAUUGCAUUGAAAUCUGCUGCUGUUGUAAAAGUGAGAAGAAGAUUUCCCUCCCCCACCUCUGUCACUCUCUCAUCACUGUCCCUUUCUUGUCUUUGUAGUUCAGGUGCAUACCAUGAAGUGCAGUCAUUCCUGUUUGUCUUGUGAGACUGGUCAGGCAAUUUUAUUAGUUGCUUCUCUGGCAUUCCUAGCUGCAGGCUGAUGCUGAUGCACAAGAGCAAGUAGGCCUGGAAAGCCCUAAUGGUUCCUGAAGAAUCUUUCCCCAUGAUGCAUCACACAGAUCCUUUGACCAUCCAUAGGCUAAGACAGCCAUACGCAGCCUUUUAGACUAAUGGCCUGGCAUUCUGCAGUUAAUUCACAUUUCACAGAUAAAAAAUGAAAGAUGCUUGUAUGUACACAUUAUAUCAUAUGCUAUCCUUUAUUUUAUUCAUUGUACCUAUUUUCUUAAUGUACUGGCUGCCACGUCUUUCACCCAACACCAGUAGUUGCAGUUUCAGACUAUGUACUGCAGGAUACCAAAAAGGGGUGGGCAGAAAUACUCCCUGGUGGCUGGGGGUUCAGCAAGUCAGCCCUGCUGUCUGUGCAUUAUCCUGCCCUGAUGUGCUCCACAGGAGGGGGCCCGCUGGGAAGAGCUGAGGGACGCUUGGGUGUGUCAGUGUUAGAGCUGUGACUUCUCAUCAGCCUCAGGUGUGACGAGAUCCGAGCACGGUGGGCACAGCUCUGUGUCCCCCUUUCCGCAUUGCUGGGUGAGCGGCCCUGGUGGGAUGGAGCUGGCAGUGUCUCACCACACAGGGCUGCCUCACUGGAAAGAUCUAAGGAAAUGGUCCCUUAGGAGUCAGGUUUGAACAGCUGUUCUGGUUGAGAACCUCAUGUUAAGAUUCCCAUAUCUUUCCUUUUUCACAGAUAUACAGUCAUGCCUUUCUUAAAUGCAGAUGUUUAAUAAAACUCAAAUAAAGGAAAAACUUGUUUCACUUGAUAUUUUUUAAGGCUGAGAGCAGAUCAAUAGUUUGCAAGUAAUGCUGCUCCUUUGUACAAUUUUGUUUGUAAUUAUGGUAAUGUUAGGGGCACUAGGGCACCUUACAGAAGCCUUAAAAGAAAGCUAAUCCAAGCAGAUUUAGCUCUGUGUCUGUGUUUUGUGUCUCUGUGUUUGUAUGUGAGAGUGUAUGUGUGAGUCCAGUGGUAAAGCAUGUAGAUUGAGCAUGGAGAUGUAUUGAGGAGGGCCCACACCUCUUGAAAAUAUGCUUGUUGCUUUACAAUGUAUGUAAACUGUUCUCCAGCAUAAAUGCAUUCAUACUUUAAUAAAAAAAAGUUUUGAGUUAAA